CGGACGGGUGAGUAACGCGUGGGUAACCUGCCUUGUACUGGGGGACAACAGUUAGAAAUGACUGCUAAUACCGCAUAAGCGCACAGUAUCGCAUGAUACCGUGUGAAAAACUCCGGUGGUACAAGAUGGACCCGCGUCUGAUUAGCUAGUUGGUAAGGUAACGGCUUACCAAGGCGACGAUCAGUAGCCGACCUGAGAGGGUGACCGGCCACAUUGGGACUGAGACACGGCCCAA
RNAcentral lists this ribosomal RNA (235 nucleotides) under uncultured bacterium. RNAcentral's name for it is "partial 16S ribosomal RNA". It matches the Rfam family "Bacterial small subunit ribosomal RNA", at positions 99 to 334 of the family's 1533-position model. The record is from RNAcentral.